GAAAGCUUAUUCAAUUUAAUACAACUUUCAUGAAGAAAUUGUAAACCAAAAACGACUAAAAAUUGGUUAAAUUGUAGGAACAAGUUAAAGAGGUCGUGUGCGCGCGAUUCUGGAAGUGGUUCUGUUUUGAGGGUUAUAUGUGUUUAUGCACGGGGAAUCAGAUUUAUAUGUCUUCAGAUAAGUUUUAGAGGAUCUCAAAAUGAAGAGUUUGAUAUAAAGAACACUCAUUUUGGUUAAGUAUUGAGAAAGUUAUAGUCCUUUGAAGUUUAUGUUAGACAUCUGGAAAUUUUAGAGAAUUGUUGAAAUAGGAUUUUAUUUCUUAAGCUUUGUUUUCGUGAGCGUCAUCUUUGGUGCGACAUGUUAUGUAUAUCUUUAGGAAACCAGAAUGUUUAGGGUUUUAAUACUCGGUUGGAUUGUUGGCAGGCCGAGAAGAAUUAAACCGAGCUUAUAGACCAAGGAUCUAGCCCAAGACUGUAGAGAUCGACUUCCCGGUGCCUGAUAGACUACCUUAGUCUGCGGAAGCUUCAUUAUCGAUUGCCAGUACGUGUUUUGAGUUGGGCAUAAAGUCUGUUGUGUUGUGAUGUAUUCACACCCUUGUAUGUUAUAGAUACUCCACAGUUUGUAUAAGCUUUAGGAGCUGUAGUUGUGUAAAUUUUGUUGGUUAUAUUUUGAUUAAGGUGUCUUUAGGUUUACUCGUGAAAUCGGUAAAUUUUGAGGUACACUUCAUGUAUGUGUUUGACUAGCUGUGUUUGACUAGCCUAGGAUCCGCUGUGUUUUGUGGCAUGUACAAUAGUUUAUAUACUAGAUUGGCAAGUUCA
Long non-coding RNA from Cucumis melo (muskmelon), 818 nucleotides. RefSeq lists it as uncharacterized. Lineage: Eukaryota; Viridiplantae; Streptophyta; Magnoliopsida; Cucurbitales; Cucurbitaceae. The transcript has 2 exons. The record is from RefSeq and is a predicted model, not a curated record.